UUCGGGUGAGCGGCGGACGGGUGAGUAACGCGUGGGAACGUGCCCUUUGGUACGGGAUAACUGAGGGAAACUUCAGCUAAUACCGUAUGUGCCCUACGGGGGAAAGAUUUAUCGCCAUUGGAGCGGCCCGCGUUGGAUUAGGUAGUUGGUGAGGUAAAGGCUCACCAAGCCUACGAUCCAUAGCUGGUCUGAGAGGAUGAUCAGCCACACUGGGACUGAGACACGGCCCAGACUCUACGGGAGGCAGCAGUAGGGAAUCUUGCGCAAUGGGCGAAAGCCUGACGCAGCCAUGCCGCGUGUAUGAUGAAGGUCUUAGGAUUGUAAAAUACUUUCACCGGGGAAGAUAAUGACGGUACCCGGAGAAGAAGCCCCGGCUAACUUCGUGCCAGCAGCCGCGGUAAUACGAAGGGGGCUAGCGUUGCUCGGAAUUACUGGGCGUAAAGGGCGCGUAGGCGGACAGUUUAGUCAGAGGUGAAAGCCCAGGGCUCAACCUUGGAAUUGCCUUUGAUACUGGCUGUCUUGAGUUCGGGAGAGGUGAGUGGAAUGCCGAGUGUAGAGGUGAAAUUCGUAGAUAUUCGGCGGAACACCAGUGGCGAAGGCGACUCACUGGCCCGAUACUGACGCUGAGGCGCGAAAGCGUGGGGAGCAAACAGGAUUAGAUACCCUGGUAGUCCACGCUGUAAACGAUGAGUGCUAGUUGUCGGCAUGCAUACAUGUCGGUGACGCAGCU
This 730-nucleotide ribosomal RNA is filed under the name uncultured bacterium. RNAcentral describes it as "SSU rRNA". It matches the Rfam family "Bacterial small subunit ribosomal RNA", at positions 86 to 853 of the family's 1533-position model. The record is from RNAcentral.